AAGAGGCAUCCAGAGCUUGCAGGAUCUUCAAAAACAGGCACACUUGGAUUUGGUCUGCAAACCUGAUUUUGCCCACCCUUGCUCUAGGCCAACAGAGAAAGCACAAUAUGGAGGCGCUUUGAUUCCCAGAAAAUAGACUUUCAAAGGAUAAACCAGCUUGCUGUUGGGGUUAUUUUCAUCACUCCAAGGGAGGGACCUUAUACGAGAUGGAUUCAACUCAGGUGUAUUCCAGAAAAUAAAUGAAGAAGGGGUGCUAGAAUCUGGAAGGCAUCGUUUUGCAACAUUGAACAUACCAGUGGAUUUCAGCAAUGAUCAUCAACAGCUGCCAACAUCACAAAAAGAGGGACAACCUGACAUGAAGCGCCUCUUGAAGGAAGUUCACAACACCUCCUAUGAAGUCGUCUUGUCCCCCCCAGUCCCUGGCCAAAAUCAAAUCAAAAUCUGACAGUGCCUCUAAAUCUAGCUACCGGUUUACAGAAGUACAGACAACAGAGGAACAUAUGCAGAGACACCACAGAGACACACUCAGCAAAAUCCAGACGGUGGGGUUUUUGCCAGACUGACAACCCAAUUGAUUCUUCAAAAAUUCAUUUCAAAGGAAAGAAGAAACUGUGACAGAGGCUGAACCUAUAGAUUAAAAGGGACUUAAGAGGGGCGCCCGGGUAGCUCAGCCAUUAAGCAUCUGCCUUCGGCUCAGGUCAUGAUCCCAGGGUUCUGGGAUGGAGCCCCGCAUCGG
Long non-coding RNA from Callorhinus ursinus (northern fur seal), 736 nucleotides. RefSeq lists it as uncharacterized. Lineage: Eukaryota; Metazoa; Chordata; Mammalia; Carnivora; Otariidae. The record is from RefSeq and is a predicted model, not a curated record.